UGAUCGGGACUCCCAACGUUUGGAAGC
This 27-nucleotide small RNA is filed under the name Bombyx mori (domestic silkworm). RNAcentral describes it as "ovarian small RNA-32699". Lineage: Eukaryota; Metazoa; Arthropoda; Insecta; Lepidoptera; Bombycidae. The record is from RNAcentral.